CAGAUACUCUGAAGUCUUGAAUGUAUUAUUUUAAUGUGUGUUAAAGGUGCAUUUUGUUAUUUUCAGCUCAUUUCAUACAUAACGUGUGCAAUGGUUAAAAAGAGUGUUGAAAUUCAUUUUAUUUCAUCUGGUAAACGGAUAAAAAAAUACCAUAAUUCAUGGUAAAGGCUUAGAAAUAAUUCAUGUUGAUUAAAUGUGUGAAAAAUUUAUGAAAAUACUUACCUUGAGAAAAAAAGAGAACUGUACAGUUAAAAAGAUAAUUCAUCUAAGCAUUACUGUGUCAUUUUGUAUGAUGUUUCUGUUUUGCAUGGGUAUUUGUAAAUAAUUACGUAUUACUAAUAGGUGUAAUUACUUGCCGUGUCUGAGAAACAGAUGGAAGCAGCUUCGUGUCCACAGGACAGUCCUCAACAGAUGACAUUGUGUGCCCUGGAUAUUCAUCCUAUAAAGACGUCCCAUCCUCUUGCCGUGUCUGAGAAACAGAUGGAAGCAGCUUCGUGUCCACAGGACAGUCCUCAACAGAUGACAUUGUGUGUAUAAAGACGUCCCAUCCUCUUGCUGUGUCUGAGAAACAGAUGGAAGCAGCUUCGUGUCCACAGGACAGUCCUCAACAGAUGACAUUGUGUGCCCUGGAUAUUCAUCCUAUAAAGACGUCCCAUCCUCUUGCCGUGUCUGAGAAACAGAUGGAAGCAGUUUCGUGUCCACAGGACAGUCCUCAACAGAUGACAUUGUGUGUAUAAAGACGUCCCAUCCUCUUGCUGUGUCUGAGAAACAGAUGGAAGCAGCUUCGUGUCCACAGGACAGUCCUCAACAGAUGACAUUGUGUGCCACGGAUACUCAUCCUGCAAAGAGCUCCCAUCUUGCUGUCAUGUCUGAGAAACAGAUGGAAGA
Molecule: long non-coding RNA, 888 nt
Organism: Cololabis saira (Pacific saury)
Lineage: Eukaryota; Metazoa; Chordata; Actinopteri; Beloniformes; Belonidae
Exons: 6
Source: RefSeq, a predicted model, not a curated record